GCCUCGGUGGCGGAACUGGUAGACGCGCACGACUCAAACUCGUGUUCCUUUGGAGUGUGGGUUCGAUUCCCACCCGAGGUA
RNAcentral lists this transfer RNA (81 nucleotides) under Zhouia amylolytica. RNAcentral's name for it is "tRNA-Leu". It matches the Rfam family "tRNA". From Rfam's summary of the family: Transfer RNA (tRNA) molecules are approximately 80 nucleotides in length. Their secondary structure includes four short double-helical elements and three loops (D, anti-codon, and T loops). The record is from RNAcentral. Lineage: Bacteria; Pseudomonadati; Bacteroidota; Flavobacteriia; Flavobacteriales; Flavobacteriaceae.